ACAUGCAACAGAAGCCGAGCAAGGACGUACUCCGACCAGACUUGAACAUUGGGUUCCCAUCUCCAGGUUCGCCACCAGCUCGACAGUCGUCUGGCAUAAAUUUGGAAGCACAACAGCCAGACCUUGCGUUGCAGUUAUGAGAUGGGAAUUUGGAAGCACAACAGGCAGACCUUGCGUUGCAGUUAUGAGAUGGGAAUUUGGAAGCACAACAGCCAGACCUUGCGUUGCAGUUAUGAGAUGGGAACGGACUGAUUACAUGCGACUGGUAGGUUGUGUGUCAGAAACACUAAACGUCUAAAGGCAUGUGGAGCUCAGGUG
This 318-nucleotide long non-coding RNA is filed under the name Panicum hallii. RNAcentral describes it as "long non-coding RNA (PHAL_LNC000208)". The record is from RNAcentral. Lineage: Eukaryota; Viridiplantae; Streptophyta; Magnoliopsida; Poales; Poaceae.